GACGAACGCUGGCGGCGUGCUUAACACAUGCAAGUCGAACGGAAAGGCCCUGCUUUUGUGGGGUGCUCGAGUGGCGAACGGGUGAGUAACACGUGAGUAACCUGCCCUUGACUUUGGGAUAACUUCAGGAAACUGGGGCUAAUACCGGAUAGGAGCUCCUGCUGCAUGGUGGGGGUUGGAAAGUUUCGGCGGUUGGGGAUGGACUCGCGGCUUAUCAGCUUGUUGGUGGGGUAGUGGCUUACCAAGGCUUUGACGGGUAGCCGGCCUGAGAGGGUGACCGGCCACAUUGGGACUGAGAUACGGCCCAGACUCCUACGGGCGGCAGCAGUGGGGAAUAUUGCACAAUGGGCGGAAGCCUGAUGCAGCAACGCCGCGUGCGGGAUGACGGCCUUCGGGUUGUAAACCGCUUUCGCCUGUGCCGAAGCGUGAGUGACGGUAAUGGGUAAAGAAGCACCGGCUAACUACGUG
Molecule: ribosomal RNA, 468 nt
Filed under: uncultured bacterium
Lineage: Bacteria
Description: partial 16S ribosomal RNA
Rfam family: Bacterial small subunit ribosomal RNA
Source: RNAcentral